This 1069-nucleotide ribosomal RNA is filed under the name Pseudomonas sp. RNAcentral describes it as "bacterial SSU rRNA". It matches the Rfam family "Bacterial small subunit ribosomal RNA", at positions 33 to 1117 of the family's 1533-position model. The record is from RNAcentral. Lineage: Bacteria; Pseudomonadati; Pseudomonadota; Gammaproteobacteria; Pseudomonadales; Pseudomonadaceae.
AUUCUUGCAGCGGACUAACCAUGCAAGUCGAGCGGAUGAAGGGAGCUUGCUCCUGGAUUCAGCGGCGGACGGGUGAGUAAUGCCUAGGAAUCUGCCUGGUAGUGGGGGAUAACGUCCGGAAACGGGCGCUAAUACCGCAUACGUCCUGAGGGAGAAAGUGGGGGAUCUUCGGACCUCACGCUAUCAGAUGAGCCUAGGUCGGAUUAGCUAGUUGGUGGGGUAAAGGCCUACCAAGGCGACGAUCCGUAACUGGUCUGAGAGGAUGAUCAGUCACACUGGAACUGAGACACGGUCCAGACUCCUACGGGAGGCAGCAGUGGGGAAUAUUGGACAAUGGGCGAAAGCCUGAUCCAGCCAUGCCGCGUGUGUGAAGAAGGUCUUCGGAUUGUAAAGCACUUUAAGUUGGGAGGAAGGGCAGUAAGUUAAUACCUUGCUGUUUUGACGUUACCAACAGAAUAAGCACCGGCUAACUUCGUGCCAGCAGCCGCGGUAAUACGAAGGGUGCAAGCGUUAAUCGGAAUUACUGGGCGUAAAGCGCGCGUAGGUGGUUCAGCAAGUUGGAUGUGAAAUCCCCGGGCUCAACCUGGGAACUGCAUCCAAAACUACUGAGCUAGAGUACGGUAGAGGGUGGUGGAAUUUCCUGUGUAGCGGUGAAAUGCGUAGAUAUAGGAAGGAACACCAGUGGCGAAGGCGACCACCUGGACUGAUACUGACACUGAGGUGCGAAAGCGUGGGGAGCAAACAGGAUUAGAUACCCUGGUAGUCCACGCCGUAAACGAUGUCGACUAGCCGUUGGGAUCCUUGAGAUCUUAGUGGCGCAGCUAACGCGAUAAGUCGACCGCCUGGGGAGUACGGCCGCAAGGUUAAAACUCAAAUGAAUUGACGGGGCCCGCACAGCGGUGGAGCAUGUGGUUUAUUCGAAGCACGCGAGACCUUACCUGGCCUUGACAUGCUGAGACUUUCCAGAGAUGGAUGGUGCUUCGGGACUCAGAACAGUGCUGCAUGCUGUCGUCAGCUCGUGUCGUGAAAUGUGGGUUAGUCCGUACAGCGCAACCCUUGUCCUUAGUAC